This is a long non-coding RNA of Paramisgurnus dabryanus, 1640 nucleotides long. RefSeq lists it as uncharacterized. NCBI's taxonomy places the organism in Eukaryota, Metazoa, Chordata, Actinopteri, Cypriniformes, Cobitidae. The record is from RefSeq and is a predicted model, not a curated record.
UUAAUUUUAUGAAACAUCAAAUGUUUCAGUAUAGCUGUAUAUACAUAUAAUAUUAUCUAUCUAAUAUGAUUAACUUAUUCAUUUUGUAUUUUUUAUCAAGCAUUGCUUGAUAUUUGUUAUUCAUUAACAAACACAUCUAAAAUGCUCUGAAAGCAAAGCUUUCACUUUCGUUUAUACGAAAAUAUUACAUUGUGCCUGGACAGGAUUGGCUUCUAUAAGUCAGCCAAUGAGGAGGGAGAUAUAAAGGAAAGUAUAAAAACUAUGCAAAGUCUCUACACAAUAGAUUUGACCUUGUCGCUUGCAAACCUUCUGCCUUGAAUCGAAACUUAUUGUGAUUAUGAGCUUAGCAGGGGACAGCGAAGGAGAGGAUGAUGAAGAUGAUAAUGAUGAUGAAGAUAACCAGGGUGCUGGAAUAAGCAUCUGCUGCUAAGGGUAUAUGCUCCAGACCUUGUAUCCAGUGUUAGAAAACACCAAAAGAGACACGCUGGACCACAAACUGUGUUGAUUUGCUGAUACAAACCAGUAGCCCAGUCGAACACACAGUUCCUGUUGUGACAAAGAGUCACAAACAAAAAACCCUCGCCUGCCAUGCGCAAACAAGCAUGGCAAACCGUGACGUGACACAGAAUCUUCCGUGGGGACGAUGCAUCUCGCAAGGUUUCUGCUGUACAGUGGCAGCAGCAUCUCUGUUCUUCAGAUCGGCAUUGCUUUUGUGCCUGUUUGUGCGAGCCUGAAGAAACCAUGGAGGAAAGAAAGAAAUAAACAUGGAGUGGUGGAAACCUGAUGGUUAAAGAUCCGAGCUGCUGGUCCAGAGGUUUGAAGAUGUGAACACAAUCUUCCUAAUCCACCAUUGUGCUCGUGAGCAAAGCACUUGAUGACUUCAAGUUAUUUCAGCAGGACUUAAAUUACUGCAAUUGUUUCACUGUAGUCACUCAUAAGCAUCCAAUUUUAAACAAACAGGAUGGGCUGGACGGGCAACAUUCAUGGAUGCAUUUUGCUCAUAAACUAGGGGGUCACUGCCCUAUUAAAGCCCAGGUGUAAAUGUUUUAUGGUUAAAGAUAAUUUAUGGCUGAUUGGUCUGAGUAACUCUCCAGAAUAACUAGCAGAUGGUUUUUUGGAGUAGCAGAGAUCAGGGGCAGAGGUAAAAGAUCACUGUUUGAAUCGUCUUUUACCUCAAGAGGUUUAAUGCCACAAUACUGGCAUUCAGCCAUAAAGAGCGUGUUUAGUGCGGGACUACAUGCUCACCAGGACGUGGUCAACAAGCACACCCAAUCUGCAGGUUGUGCUUACAAAGUUGAAUUCACAGAGUUCUGAUAACUUAUUAAAACACAAUACACCAAUAUCACACACUGCUAGUGCACACACUAUGCAACAAGUGUAGACAUAAAUGAGAAUGUAAUGGGUAAAGUAACUCAUGCAUUACUCAUGUCCGAAUUUAAGGACUUAGGUCUAGCCUAAAUGAAGCCCCGCUGGUCACAACACCGGCGGCACUCAUGUCGUAUUGGGAGAUUAUUGUUGUACUUAGUUAUGUGGCUAGGGGAUUAUUAGCAUUGAUGUUCUUCAUGUCAUAACUGUGACUGUAUUACACUAGCUAGUAAGCCACGUGGUAACUCCCCUCCUAAAUAAAGUUGUGUGAUAAA